GAUGAACGCUGGCGGCGUGCCUAAUACAUGCAAGUCGAGCGGGGUAGCUUGCUACCCAGCGGCGAACGGGUGAGUAACACGUAGGUAACCUGCCUUCGAGUCCGGAAUACCCAGGCGAAAGCUUGGCUAAUGCCGGAUAACAGCGGACCCCGCCUGGGGCCCGCGUGAAAGCCGCCCCAAAGCGGCGCUCCUAGAUGGACCUGCGGCGCAUUAGCUAGUUGGCGGGGCAACGGCCCACCAAGGCGAGGAUGCGUAGCCGACCUGAGAGGGUGAACGGCCACAAUGGGACUGAGACACGGCCCAU
This 304-nucleotide ribosomal RNA is filed under the name uncultured bacterium. Its description in RNAcentral is "bacterial SSU rRNA". It matches the Rfam family "Bacterial small subunit ribosomal RNA", at positions 28 to 334 of the family's 1533-position model. The record is from RNAcentral.